Leopardus geoffroyi (Geoffroy's cat) is the source of this 1101-nucleotide long non-coding RNA. RefSeq lists it as uncharacterized. The transcript has 2 exons. NCBI's taxonomy places the organism in Eukaryota, Metazoa, Chordata, Mammalia, Carnivora, Felidae. The record is from RefSeq and is a predicted model, not a curated record.
GUGUUAUAUAUGUGAAAUGUUUACUAACUGGAAACAAAUGUUUACAUUGGAUAAACUACCUCCUAAAAAGUCCAUUUCCUCUGUUCAUGCAAAUGUUGCUAUUUGUGCGGAGUGGAAGGGCAUUUCUACUUCUCCUACCACAAAAGCUGUAUUUCUUUCAAUAUUAAGGUUAAUGAGGGCUGGGGCCCUGUAAUCUACAUGAGUAGGUUAAUUCUCAUGUGUCCUAGAUAGUUGAGAGAGAAAGAGAUUUAGAACUUUGGCUGAAGGGAGAUGCACACACUGCCUGCAGUGAAUGCAUGCAAAGAAGCAAAGAACACUCUGUAGAAGGAUCUCUAUACCUCAGCUCCUCCAUCUACAAGGCAGAGAUGCUGAAUGUGACCCCAUCCUCCCCUGUGCAUGAAUGAGAAGUUCCAGUUCAAAGGGAAGAGAGCCCAGAACCCCAACAACUGAAGAGAGCCAGUCUUGAACUCUUUAUCUGCCUGGUCAGUGUUGCUUGCAUCGAUUGCACAUCAACUGAACUUCUACCAUCAGGCUCACUGGUGGCCAAAAGUAUACUUCUACAAUCUCUCCAAUGCUUUUAUCCUGUAGCUUCCAAAUGAGAGUUUGGUUGCCAUGGCAACAGCCAAGUUCCGCCAGAAGGAGAAAUUCCUUGUAUAAUGAGCCCAGACCUUGUGAAAAUAAAGGAAAUCUCAUCUAAAAUGGAGCGGGGGAAGCCCUGAAGGGGGAGCUCUCGUGCAUAUACCACUCUUUGAAGCCACUGUAACCAGCGGGAAGGAGGAUCAGAAUUAUUCUGGCAAAGGAGGACAUUUUUCACAUAGGAAUUUUGUCUCCUGCAUUUAAGAAAAGGAAAGAAGAUCCCUUCCUGCCCCAGCAACAUUGCAGUAACCCCCACUUGUAGCCAAUAAGAAACCACUUGAAUUCUUGUUCUUCUCCCAUAAACUUCAGUUCUAAGCCACGCUCCUACAAUAUCCUCCUAAAACCCAAUAAAAGCUGACCUUCCCUUUGUCCCUUUGGACUUGCUAAUGGAUCACCAUGGCCUGCUUGUCCCAAAUUGUAAUUCUUCUGUUAUUUCUGAAUAAAGUCGGGUUUUCUUUGCUUAAA